RNAcentral lists this ribosomal RNA (460 nucleotides) under uncultured bacterium. RNAcentral's name for it is "partial 16S ribosomal RNA". It matches the Rfam family "Bacterial small subunit ribosomal RNA", at positions 338 to 795 of the family's 1533-position model. The record is from RNAcentral.
CCUACGGGUGGCUGCAGUGAGGAAUAUUGGUCAAUGGGCGCGAGCCUGAACCAGCCAAGUAGCGUGAAGGAUGACUGCCCUACGGGUUGUAAGCUUCUUUUAUGGAGGAGUAAAGUGAGGCUCGUGUGCCUUUUUGUAUGUACUUUAUGAAUAAGGAUCGGCUAACUCCGUGCCAGCAGCCGCGGUAAGACGGAGGAUCCGGGCGUUAUCCGGAUUUAUGGGGUUUAAAGGGAGCGUAGAUGGGUUGUUAAGUCAGUAGUGAAAGUUUGCGGCUCAACCGUAAAAUUGCAAUUGAUACUGGCAGGCUGGAGUACAGGUGAGGUAGGCGGAAUUCGUGGUGUAGCGGUGAAAUGCGUAGAUAUCACGAAGAACUCCGAUUGCGAAGGCAGCUUACUAAACUGCGACUGACAUUGAUGCUCGAAAGUGUGGGUAUCAAACAGGAUUAGAUACCCUUGUAGUC